RNAcentral lists this ribosomal RNA (894 nucleotides) under Thaxteriellopsis lignicola. Its description in RNAcentral is "eukaryotic LSU rRNA". It matches the Rfam family "Eukaryotic large subunit ribosomal RNA", at positions 54 to 967 of the family's 3401-position model. The record is from RNAcentral. Lineage: Eukaryota; Fungi; Ascomycota; Dothideomycetes; Tubeufiales; Tubeufiaceae.
GGGGAAAGAACCAACUGGGAUUUGCCUCAGUAACGGCGAGUGAAGCGGCAAUAGCUCAAAUUUGAAAUCUGGCUCUUUCAGAGUCCGAGUUGUAAUUUGUAGAGGAUGCUUCGGCUUACGCCCCGGUCUAAGUUCCUUGGAACAGGACGUCACAGAGGGUGAGAAUCCCGUACGUGGCCGGCGGCCUCCGCCAUGUGAAGCUCCUUCGACGAGUCGAGUUGUUUGGGAAUGCAGCUCUAAAUGGGAGGUAAAUUUCUUCUAAAGCUAAAUACUGGCCAGAGACCGAUAGCGCACAAGUAGAGUGAUCGAAAGAUGAAAAGCACUUUGGAAAGAGAGUUAAAAAGUACGUGAAAUUGUUGAAAGGGAAGCGCUUGCAACCAGACUUGCCCGCGGUUGUUCAGCCGGUCCUUCGGCCGGUGCACUCUUCCGCGGUCAGGCCAGCAUCAGUUUAGGCGGUCGGAUAAAGGCUCUAGGAAUGUAGCUCUCUUCGGGGAGUGUUAUAGCCUGGGGCGCAAUACGGCCCGCCUGGACUGAGGUCCGCGCUUCGGCUAGGAUGCUGGCGUAAUGGUUGUAAGCGGCCCGUCUUGAAACACGGACCAAGGAGUCUAACAUCUAUGCGAGUGUUUGGGUGUCAAACCCGUGCGCGUAAUGAAAGUGAACGGAGGUGGGAACCUUAGGGUGCACCAUCGACCGAUCCUGAUGUCUUCGGAUGGAUUUGAGUAAGAGCAUAGCUGUUGGGACCCGAAAGAUGGUGAACUAUGCCUGAAUAGGGUGAAGCCAGAGGAAACUCUGGUGGAGGCUCGCAGCGGUUCUGACGUGCAAAUCGAUCGUCAAAUUUGGGUAUAGGGGCGAAAGACUAAUCGAACCAUCAGCAGCGCUAGGUGGUCAAGAGGC